Molecule: transfer RNA, 73 nt
Filed under: Candidatus Agrococcus pullicola
Lineage: Bacteria; Bacillati; Actinomycetota; Actinomycetes; Micrococcales; Microbacteriaceae
Description: tRNA-Lys
Rfam family: tRNA
About the family: Transfer RNA (tRNA) molecules are approximately 80 nucleotides in length.
Source: RNAcentral
GGGCCUGUAGCUCAGUUGGCAGAGCAUCGGACUUUUAAUCCGCUGGUCCCGGGUUCGAGCCCCGGCGGGCCCA